CCUUUUUCCCUUUUCUUCUCCUCCAGAGUUCAUCUCCUCUGAAUCUCUCUGAUCCUUUUGAUAUUGUUUCGUUUUGAUAUUCGUCUCGUUUAUUUUUCCGCGUUUAUUGGUGUCUCGAUCGGCCAUGGAGUUUUUUCUCGAGAUUGUUCUGACGGCGGUUGUUGCGCUGUUGUUCUCCUUCGUUGUGGCGAAGCUCGUGUCGGUGGCUACGGCCGGAGGAGGACACGGUUCGAGUUCCGAGUCGGAGGAGAAGUCCGCGAUCCAUGUCGGUCAGGACGUUUCCCUUGAGGAGUUUCGGUUUGAGCAGAAAAUGGAGGCUCGGGUACUCGGGAGUGAGAGGAAUGUCCGGAUUGUUGGGGAGAAUGUGGAACAUGUGGAUCGGUUCGUAGGAGAAGCUGUCCGAUUUGACGAACUCGAGGACGCGGCGAAUGGAAGCAGAGAAAUCGGCGCUGAACUUGAAGUAAAGGAGGUCCAAGCAUUGCAGGCUGAAUACUGCGCCGCCGUUUCGCCGGAAAUUGUGAAAGAAGAGGAAACAAUAGUACCGGGACAAGAGGAACAAAAAUCUGCAACCCCCCUAGCUGUCUCGAAGGAAGACGUUAUUGCAGAGGAUAUAAGUGUCGGAAGAGAGGAGGAGCGAAAAUCAGAAUCCGGCGAUGCUGUCUCGCCGGAAAAUAUGGUAGCCGAGGAGACAAGAGUUCGAGGGCAAGAGGAAGGAAGCGAAUUGGCGGAAGAAAGAAGCGAUCACAUAGAAAUCGAAGAGAGCGGGGAUGUUGCAGUGUCUGAAUCAGAGGACCAGGUUGAAGAGAGUGAAUCUAAGGAGGGAAUUCAGGAGAAGACAGAGGAGUUGAAUAUUGAAGAGGACGAUGAUGAUGAUUGGGAGGGAAUUGAGAAGAGUGAACUGGAGAAAGCCUUUGCUGCUGCUGCUAAAUUCAUGGAAGAAUCGGGACAUGCGUUAGAAAUCGGUAACGACGCUAAGACGGAGUUAUACGGAUUGCAUAAGAUCGCCACAGAAGGACCCUGCAGAGAUUCAUCGCCCAUGGCUCUUAUGGUCUCUGCUCGUGCUAAGUGGAAUGCCUGGCAAAAGCUCGGAAACAUGAGUCAAGAGGAGGCCAUGGAGCAGUAUCUUGCACUUGUUUCAAAGGAGGUCCCUGAUCUGGAGGUCCAUGCUGGUUCCACUUUUGAGAAGAACCCCGAGAUGGAAACUUCCGACUUCGUGCCUCCUGAUUCGGGUUCGUUAGAGCCACCGCCCCCAUUGACCGCAACAGAUUCAAAGUACGAAGCUUUUAAAGGUGACGUCAAUGAGGCUUCAGAUGUAGGCAAGAAGGUAAUGGCCAGUUAGUUUUCCAUGGUGUUGGUAACAGAAGAAUACGACUAUAUAGCUGAAGUUCACUUGCGGGAAAAAUCGACUCCAGCAUUUGAUCUCACAAGCCUGUUAAGACAUGCCCCGUGAUACACAUUGAAUGCAGAUUUGAAAACUAUUCAAUUGCAUACGAGUUCCUCAAGGUAUUGACAAUGCAGUAUAUUGUAAGUAGUUCUCAAUGCCCUAGUGAUAAAAAUCUGAUUCCGAAAACCCUUAUUGGUGUCCAAACCUCGCAAUGUACAUAAAACCUAUAUGAUAUCUUCCAAUAAUUCGUUGAUUA
Molecule: RNA transcript, 1640 nt
Organism: Tarenaya hassleriana
Lineage: Eukaryota; Viridiplantae; Streptophyta; Magnoliopsida; Brassicales; Cleomaceae
Gene name: acyl-CoA-binding domain-containing protein 3
Exons: 5
Source: RefSeq, a predicted model, not a curated record